AUAUAGAUGAUGAAAUGCCAUAGUCCUGGUCCAGGUAACUAGGAAGUGCCAUUUGGUUUGUCUCUCCAAUCAGAAAUUCCCUUUAUUUCAUUGUCCUGCACCCCACCCAACAAAUAAACCCAUUGCAAGAUUUUGGGUAAAUUAACAAACUUGUCAGAUGGAAAAGCUAACCAAAUAGAUCCAUUAAAUUGGUCAGAUUCUCCUGUGUUGUUGACAAAGGAGGGCUGAUUUUCUACGGACUGCUAACAAACUCCUCAUAAAAAAAUCUACAAUUUUAUAUGUCCCUAUAUUUGAAGAAUGGAGCCCAAAUUGUUGCUACGGCUUCACUGCAAAAUCUGUAAUAUGACAAAUUCUAUAACUAGUCACAUAUGAAAAUUUUGCUGAGCAAUGUUUUUAUCCACCAGGCGGGUUGUGUUUUCCAUACAUUGUAGAACUAUUCUGAAUAAUUUGGCCUUCUGUAAAUAGGGGUAAAAAAUGAGGUCUGCAGAUGCUGGAGAUCACGGCUGAAAAUGUGUUGCUGGUUAAAGCACAGCAGAUUAGGCAGCAUCCAAGGAAUAGGAAAUUCGACGUUUCGGGCAUAAGCCCUUCUGUAAAUAGGCCAAUUUUUGAAUCAAUUAUUUUUCUGUUUAUAGCAGUUGAUGGCAUUUGGGACAAUUAAAUUUUACACAAAUCAACCGUUUCUUUUCACUAUCAUGAAUAUACAAGUUAGCCUAAUAUACAAGUAAAAAAGAGUUUUGUUGAAGAUUUGGGGUGUGGGAGAAAUAUGCUAAUAUUACUUGGGGGCGCUGGGUAAAAAUGGAGGCCAAUGGAAGCCUCAGAGAAUGAAAAUCAUUUAAAGGAUUUAAAAUAUUAAUAAGCAGAAUAUUUAUUUCAGCCAGAAGUCUUUCUGAAACUAAUUAUAUUAAGUGGGCAUUCUUUUUGUGUAAUUUAAGAAAAACAUGGUGUAAAUCCUAUUUUUGGUAGCCCAAACAGCAGUGUUUGAUUAUCAAUGACAAAUGAUGAGUAAACAAUCUAGGUAAGUGGCCAAGUUUCAAGUCUUGAGCAAUAUAGAAUUUUACUUAAAUGGCUUCAAUCUGGAGAAAUUUUGAAUUAGCACUACAGUGAAACUGAUCACUUGAAACUUGUAAUUUUCAUUAUUUAAAUCUCUGAAAUUUAAUUUCAUAGUUUCUACCU
This is a long non-coding RNA of Hemiscyllium ocellatum (epaulette shark), 1173 nucleotides long. RefSeq lists it as uncharacterized. NCBI's taxonomy places the organism in Eukaryota, Metazoa, Chordata, Chondrichthyes, Orectolobiformes, Hemiscylliidae. The transcript has 3 exons. The record is from RefSeq and is a predicted model, not a curated record.